RNAcentral lists this ribosomal RNA (231 nucleotides) under uncultured bacterium. RNAcentral's name for it is "partial 16S ribosomal RNA". It matches the Rfam family "Bacterial small subunit ribosomal RNA", at positions 100 to 334 of the family's 1533-position model. The record is from RNAcentral.
CGGGACGGGUGAGUAAUGUCUGGGAAACUGCCUGAUGGAGGGGGAUACUACUGGAACGGUAGCUAAUACCGCAUAACGUCGCAAGACCAAAGAGGGGGACCUUUGGGCCUCUUGCCAUCGGAUGUGCCCAGAUGGGAUUAGCUAGUAGGUGGGGUAACGGCUCACCUAGGCGACGAUCCCUAGCUGGUCUGAGAGGAUGACCAGCCACACUGGAACUGAGACACGGUCCAG